Long non-coding RNA from Melospiza melodia melodia, 779 nucleotides. RefSeq lists it as uncharacterized. The record is from RefSeq and is a predicted model, not a curated record. Lineage: Eukaryota; Metazoa; Chordata; Aves; Passeriformes; Passerellidae. The transcript has 3 exons.
AGCAGCCCUUGGGAUAACGCUGCUCUGUCCCUGGACGUCUGUCCCAAGCCAGGACAGCAUCCCGUGGCCCGGAGGCUCGGCAACCUCGGGUGGGAUUUACAGCAGCCGGAACUGUCUGGAGAAGGGAUUUCAGAGGGACCGGCCCAGCUCUGAGAGGGAAAAAGGAGAAAUCGUGGGAGGAAUGGCUGUGAGCGAGCUGGGAUAUGGGUGAGCCCAUUCCAGGAGCCCUCAGCAGGAUAAUCCCGAUGGGCUCCUCUGCAAUUCCCAUCCCUCCAUCCCAUGGAGAAGCUGAGCUGCCACUCCUGGAGGUGGCAGGUGGCACUUGGGGACUCUGCCUCUUCCUCCAGCACUGCAGUGAUGCCACAGCCUCGGGACGCGCCAGCAUUUCCCAAUUCUGUGAUUUUUGGACUUUUCCGUAUUUCAGAGGAGCCCAUGACUUGCUGUACAAGUCACCCUUGCUCCUCUCACGAGUAGGGAAGAAUGUUUCCCCUUUUUUGAGCAGGUCAUUGCUCUCCUCCCCUUCUCCCUGAGGGACUGCAGCCAUCCCGUGGCGUGGAGAGAAAGUUGUUCUGAGGGAAUGAAUGUGAGCUGGAUCCUCCUGCUGGGAGGGCUUGGCUGCUCUCAACCUCUGUGAGGUUGUCCCUGUACCUCUGCUGGGAAUGCUGUAACCCUGGGAUGGUCAGAAUUCCCAGUUUUCCUCUCUCAUUUUCCUCCCAGGGCAUCCACGCCUGGAAUGUGUCUCACGGGACACAUUGGGGAAUCUGGCCUUCCCAUGGCGC